GGUUAAGCGACUAAGCGUACACGGUGGAUGCCCUGGCAGUCAGAGGCGAUGAAGGACGUGCUAAUCUGCGAUAAGCGUCGGUAAGGUGAUAUGAACCGUUAUAACCGGCGAUUUCCGAAUGGGGAAACCCAGUGUGAUUCGUCACACUAUCAUUAACUGAAUCCAUAGGUUAAUGAGGCGAACCGGGGGAACUGAAACAUCUAAGUACCCCGAGGAAAAGAAAUCAACCGAGAUUCCCCCAGUAGCGGCGAGCGAACGGGGAGCAGCCCAGAGCCUGAAUCAGUGUGUGUGUUAGUGGAAGCGUCUGGAAAGGCGUGCGAUACAGGGUGACAGCCCCGUACACAAAAAUGCACAUACUGUGAGCUCGAUGAGUAGGGCGGGACACGUGGUAUCCUGUCUGAAUAUGGGGGGACCAUCCUCCAAGGCUAAAUACUCCUGACUGACCGAUAGUGAACCAGUACCGUGAGGGAAAGGCGAAAAGAACCCCGGCGAGGGGAGUGAAAAAGAACCUGAAACCGUGUACGUACAAGCAGUGGGAGCACGCUUAGGCGUGUGACUGCGUACCUUUUGUAUAAUGGGUCAGCGACUUAUAUUCUGUAGCAAGGUUAACCGAAUAGGGGAGCCGAAGGGAAACCGAGUCUUAACUGGGCGUUAAGUUGCAGGGUAUAGACCCGAAACCCGGUGAUCUAGCCAUGGGCAGGUUGAAGGUUGGGUAACACUAACUGGAGGACCGAACCGACUAAUGUUGAAAAAUUAGCGGAUGACUUGUGGCUGGGGGUGAAAGGCCAAUCAAACCGGGAGAUAGCUGGUUCUCCCCGAAAGCUAUUUAGGUAGCGCCUCGUGAAUUCAUCUCCGGGGGUAGAGCACUGUUUCGGCAAGGGGGUCAUCCCGACUUACCAACCCGAUGCAAACUGCGAAUACCGGAGAAUGUUAUUACGGGAGACACACGGCGGGUGCUAACGUCCGUCGUGAAGAGGGAAACAACCCAGACCGCCAGCUAAGGUCCCAAAGUCAUGGUUAAGUGGGAAACGAUGUGGGAAGGCCCAGACAGCCAGGAUGUUGGCUUAGAAGCAGCCAUCAUUUAAAGAAAGCGUAAUAGCUCACUGGUCGAGUCGGCCUGCGCGGAAGAUGUAACGGGGCUAAACCAUGCACCGAAGCUGCGGCAGCGACGCUUAUGCGUUGUUGGGUAGGGGAGCGUUCUGUAAGCCUGUGAAGGUGUGCUGUGAGGUAUGCUGGAGGUAUCAGAAGUGCGAAUGCUGACAUAAGUAACGAUAAAGCGGGUGAAAAGCCCGCUCGCCGGAAGACCAAGGGUUCCUGUCCAACGUUAAUCGGGGCAGGGUGAGUCGACCCCUAAGGCGAGGCCGAAAGGCGUAGUCGAUGGGAAACAGGUUAAUAUUCCUGUACUUGGUGUUACUGCGAAGGGGGGACGGAGAAGGCUAUGUUGGCCGGGCGACGGUUGUCCCGGUUUAAGCGUGUAGGCUGGUUUUCCAGGCAAAUCCGGAAAAUCAAGGCCGAGGCGUGAUGACGAGGCACUACGGUGCUGAAGCAACAAAUGCCCUGCUUCCAGGAAAAGCCUCUAAGCAUCAGGUAACAUCAAAUCGUACCCCAAACCGACACAGGUGGUCAGGUAGAGAAUACCAAGGCGCUUGAGAGAACUCGGGUGAAGGAACUAGGCAAAAUGGUGCCGUAACUUCGGGAGAAGGCACGCUGAUACGUAGGUGAAGCGACUUGCUCGUGGAGCUGAAAUCAGUCGAAGAUACCAGCUGGCUGCAACUGUUUAUUAAAAACACAGCACUGUGCAAACACGAAAGUGGACGUAUACGGUGUGACGCCUGCCCGGUGCCGGAAGGUUAAUUGAUGGGGUUAGCGCAAGCGAAGCUCUUGAUCGAAGCCCCGGUAAACGGCGGCCGUAACUAUAACGGUCCUAAGGUAGCGAAAUUCCUUGUCGGGUAAGUUCCGACCUGCACGAAUGGCGUAAUGAUGGCCAGGCUGUCUCCACCCGAGACUCAGUGAAAUUGAACUCGCUGUGAAGAUGCAGUGUACCCGCGGCAAGACGGAAAGACCCCGUGAACCUUUACUAUAGCUUGACACUGAACAUUGAGCCUUGAUGUGUAGGAUAGGUGGGAGGCUUUGAAGUGUGGACGCCAGUCUGCAUGGAGCCGACCUUGAAAUACCACCCUUUAAUGUUUGAUGUUCUAACGUGGACCCGUGAUCCGGGUUGCGGACAGUGUCUGGUGGGUAGUUUGACUGGGGCGGUCUCCUCCUAAAGAGUAACGGAGGAGCACGAAGGUUGGCUAAUCCUGGUCGGACAUCAGGAGGUUAGUGCAAUGGCAUAAGCCAGCUUGACUGCGAGCGUGACGGCGCGAGCAGGUGCGAAAGCAGGUCAUAGUGAUCCGGUGGUUCUGAAUGGAAGGGCCAUCGCUCAACGGAUAAAAGGUACUCCGGGGAUAACAGGCUGAUACCGCCCAAGAGUUCAUAUCGACGGCGGUGUUUGGCACCUCGAUGUCGGCUCAUCACAUCCUGGGGCUGAAGUAGGUCCCAAGGGUAUGGCUGUUCGCCAUUUAAAGUGGUACGCGAGCUGGGUUUAGAACGUCGUGAGACAGUUCGGUCCCUAUCUGCCGUGGGCGCUGGAGAACUGAGGGGGGCUGCUCCUAGUACGAGAGGACCGGAGUGGACGCAUCACUGGUGUUCGGGUUGUCAUGCCAAUGGCACUGCCCGGUAGCUAAAUGCGGAAGAGAUAAGUGCUGAAAGCAUCUAAGCACGAAACUUGCCCCGAGAUGAGUUCUCCCUGACCCUUUAAGGGUCCUGAAGGAACG
Molecule: ribosomal RNA, 2816 nt
Filed under: Shigella flexneri
Lineage: Bacteria; Pseudomonadati; Pseudomonadota; Gammaproteobacteria; Enterobacterales; Enterobacteriaceae
Description: partial 23S ribosomal RNA
Rfam family: Bacterial large subunit ribosomal RNA
Source: RNAcentral